GUUCCCGGGCCUUGUACACACCGCCCGUCACACCAUGGGAGUGGGUUGCAAAAGAAGUAGGUAGCUUAACCUUCGGGAGGGCGCUUACCACUUUGUGAUUCAUGACUGGGGUGAAGUCGUAACAAGGUAACCG
Molecule: ribosomal RNA, 133 nt
Filed under: Klebsiella pneumoniae IS22
Lineage: Bacteria; Pseudomonadati; Pseudomonadota; Gammaproteobacteria; Enterobacterales; Enterobacteriaceae
Description: Small Subunit Ribosomal RNA; ssuRNA; SSU rRNA
Rfam family: Bacterial small subunit ribosomal RNA
Source: RNAcentral